Paenibacillus dendritiformis C454 is the source of this 86-nucleotide regulatory RNA element. It matches the Rfam family "pemK RNA". NCBI's taxonomy places the organism in Bacteria, Bacillati, Bacillota, Bacilli, Caryophanales, Paenibacillaceae. The record is from Rfam.
AUGAUGAUACUUCUGCCUGGCCAGCAUCACUGCAUUGGGGGCAGCCCGCUCGGAUGAGGGGGGGAGCUUUGAUAAAGAAGCUAUGU